RNAcentral lists this small RNA (39 nucleotides) under Arabidopsis thaliana (thale cress). Its description in RNAcentral is "ATSL233140". The record is from RNAcentral. Lineage: Eukaryota; Viridiplantae; Streptophyta; Magnoliopsida; Brassicales; Brassicaceae.
CCUGCAGUUGUUCUUAUCCUCCGCUUAUUCCGUCGAGUG